CCUUAAAAUUUGUGGAAAAAUUAUGAAAUUUUGUUUCCAUGUACUAUAAUGGUUGCAGGAGCUCAACUUGAUUGCGCAGAAAUUUAAGGGUGAGUUUGAAAUAGCACUAAAGGAGGAGGAAGAAGCAAGUCGACCUGAAUCAUCGACAACUGCUUCAAAUUCUUUGGAAAAUGUUACUCUGGAGAUAGAAUCUUCGAGAAUUACAAAGUUAAAAGACUUAGAGGAAAGAAAGAAAGAGUUGGUACGCUGCUUCCUUUAAUUUAUUAUUAAAAGAAGGUGGCAGGUUUGACUAAAAUUAUAAUUAUUUUUGUCAGAGAUUACUGGAAGAGGCGGUGCAGAGGUUGGAGAUUGAGUGGUCAUUGGUUCAACAGGAGUCGGCAAAGAAACCUUCACCAGGUAUUUUGUGACUGAGUUGCUUUUCACUCUAUUCUACAAUCUUUUAUACUUUGUGGUUGCUAAAAUCCUGUAAACCCCGAUAUAUAAGUUUUGAGAUUUCAUGCUGCUCCACCCAGAAAUUAUGAAAAAUGCAUUUUAUGAUAACCUUGUUGGCCUAUAAGCAAAGUAUGGACUGGUAUUUGUAGUUGAAAGGGGUGGUAUUUAGGUCCUUAGUAAUUUAGGAGGCUUAGUAGAAAUUGGAUUAUUUAUAGGAACUUUCUGCACUUUAGCCUCUUUUGGUUGCCCAAUGCAAGGAUUUAAGGGUGCGUUUGGUUCGCGCUAUCUUUUAAAGAUUCCUAGUAAUCCAAUGGGAAUAAAAAAAUAUGACGGUGUUUGGCUAAACGCACUAAGUAAUCUAGUUGGUAAUAUUGGAUUCACUUGGGAAUAAGAUUCACCCCAAAGUACUAAUCUUAUUCCCUUGAGGGAUGGUGGAUAUCCUCAUAUUAAUGGAUUUGAGUAAUCAUAAUAUAUCUAAUCUCUUUCUUUCUUCCUACCCGCCGGCUAAUUGAUAUUAGUUGUCUUUACACUCUAACCUUAUAUCUCUCUCUAAACUUUUUUUUCUCUCUCUAAACUAAGCUUUCUCUCUCUCUCUCUCUCUCUCUCUCUUUUUCUAAAAUUUCAACUCUCUCACUCCCUCUAAUUUUGACUAUAUUUUUCUUUCUAUUUUUUUAAUUAUGCUCUCUCUCUCUAAUUUAUACUCGCUCCCCCUUUUUUCUAAAAAGAUGUUGAAACUUUUGGUAACAUUAUCUAAAAUUAAAUAAAUAAAUAAAUAAAUAAAU
RNAcentral lists this long non-coding RNA (1214 nucleotides) under Ananas comosus (pineapple). Its description in RNAcentral is "long non-coding RNA (ACOM_LNC030885)". Lineage: Eukaryota; Viridiplantae; Streptophyta; Magnoliopsida; Poales; Bromeliaceae. The record is from RNAcentral.